AUUGAACGCUGGCGGCAGGCUUAACACAUGCAAGUCGAGCGGGGUGAUGGUGCUUGCACUAUCACUUAGCGGCGGACGGGUGAGUAAUGCUUAGGAAUCUGCCUAUUAGUGGGGGACAACAUCUCGAAAGGGAUGCUAAUACCGCAUACGUCCUACGGGAGAAAGCAGGGGAUCACUUGUGACCUUGCGCUAAUAGAUGAGCCUAAGUCGGAUUAGCUAGUUGGUGGGGUAAAGGCCUACCAAGGCGACGAUCUGUAGCGGGUCUGAGAGGAUGAUCAGCCACACUGGGACUGGGACACGGCCCAGACUCCUACGGGAGGCAGCAGUGGGGAAUAUUGGACAAUGGGGGGAACCCUGAUCCAGCCAUGCCGCGUGUGUGAAGAAGGCCUUAUGGUUGUAAAGCACUUUAAGCGAGGAGGAGGCUCUUGUGGUUAAUACCCAAGAUGAGUGGACGUUACUCGCAGAAUAAGCACCGGCUAACUACGUGCCAGCCGCCGCUGUAA
RNAcentral lists this ribosomal RNA (503 nucleotides) under uncultured bacterium. Its description in RNAcentral is "partial 16S ribosomal RNA". It matches the Rfam family "Bacterial small subunit ribosomal RNA", at positions 30 to 523 of the family's 1533-position model. The record is from RNAcentral.